Long non-coding RNA from Anneissia japonica, 2204 nucleotides. RefSeq lists it as uncharacterized. The record is from RefSeq and is a predicted model, not a curated record. The transcript has 5 exons. Lineage: Eukaryota; Metazoa; Echinodermata; Crinoidea; Comatulida; Comatulidae.
UAAAAAUAUGAUAUUAAUGAAUAAUAUAGACUUAUCUAAAUGUAGGUUAUGUAUCAUAAAGUAAUGUAAAAUAAUCAUAAAAUAAUAUAUAAAGUAAAAGAAUAAUAUAACUCCCUUCUACUGAUUUGAGACAUUCAUAUUGUGAUAUGACCUUUUCUACCAAGAUUUUUCAUAAAUUUUCAUAAUAAAAUUAGUCUUAUUAGAAAAACAAAAUUGUGUUUACAAUUAUGUAUCUAUAUAUGAAAGACUCAAAGAUGGAAAGUAUUUCUUUUAUAAAUUUUAAAAAAAUUCAUUUAAAAAAAUCUAUUUUUUCCAUCAAAUUUUCAAAAUUGUAAACCUAACAUGUUUUCGGGAAAAAUGAUUUUUUUUUUAAAAUUCAAAAUUGAUUCAAGAUUAACACAAUUAAAAUGUGUCAUUAAAUGUAAAAAAAAUUAUUCUAAAUUGUACUAUUAUUGCAUUUUGCUGUACAAAUGUAAAUGACUUUUAAGUAGGUGGUCAUGCAUCACAUUUUUAUUGUAUGUAUCAAACUACAAAUACUAUAUAGUAAGUUAGCUUAAUUAAAUAAGAAAAAAUGCAUUAGAUUGUUGGGAAGAGUAGCAACUGAGUGGUACCACACGUCAUCACCACCUUGCGAUAUUGAUGCAGAUAAUGUUGAGGAGGAGCAGUUAAAGAUGGCACCCAAUGACAGUGAUGAAGAACCAGAUGUUUGGAAAGAUGAUCCACUGUGAAUUCGCAAGUCGUCACUGUAUGUAUUUGUAAUUGGUGAGGCAGCUGAAGUUCUUGUUGGUAAUCCUUCACCCGCAUCCGUAACACGUGAUAGACAACAACUGGUAUCUUUGUAGAUUAACAGUGAUAUUUUCUACACAUUGUUAAAGUGGAAUUUCAAAUAGAUGUAUAAAUUAUAUUUAAAAAUUUCAAAUUUUAAUUCACUCCAUUAAUCAAAUUUAAAUUACAUUAAUUGUAAUCUGUUCCAACUUCAAUUCUUUUUUUAAACAUUAUGGUUAAAUUAUAAUUUUUAAUUUCGAAUCCAAUACCAAAUUAACAAGAUUUUUAAAUUUACAAAUUAAAUUUUAUUUUUAAUUGGAAUUUAUUAUAUAAAUUCGAAAUGUGUUUUUUCCUGUAUUUAUAAAAAAGUAAAUUGAUAUAAAUUUUCUUUAUUAUUUGCAAAAUUUUAAUUGCUUUUAAUUCAAUUAUUAAAUUCAUUUUGGAGAAACAACUAUUUUACUACAACCAUGUAAAUUGUUAAAUCCAAAUUCUUUUUUAUGAAAAAAAUAAUUUUGAAAUUCCACUUCCUUUAUAUCCAAUUGUUAUAAUAAUUUGUAGUUUGAUGCAUGCUAUGGUUUUUUUUUUCAGUAUUCUCUCAAAAAGUUAAAACAUUGUACAAUGCACUUCUCCGCAACCUCCUGCAUGCCCCAUUACACUGACGGGCUGAUCCUGCUUUGCUGCAUGGCGGUACUUGCUUCUUGUUGUGCUCGUUGCUGCUGCUGAGUGAAGGUGCAGUUUUACGAGUCUUUCAUGCAUUACGCUUACAAAUAGUUACACCAACUACAUAAUACAUGGAAAAGACAGCAGAUUGACAACUCUCCGGAACACAAAAAAUAUGUAGACCUAAGAUUGCGAGGCAUAAUAAUAGUCUUCAUCUUGAAGGUCAUCUGGAGGUCAAUGGGAGCCAGAUAAAGAAAUAGCAAAAGAAGCAUCUUACACUGAAGAAAAUUUUUGAUAAAAAAUAUACUUAAAAUAUUGAAUAAUAAAUAGUUAAAUUCUCAGGGAUAUAAAUUUAAUUUUAUAUUGAUAUAAACUAAAAGGUAAUUUCCUAAAUGGUAGUAAUAAUUGUAUUUUUUUUUUUGGUAAAACUGAAUGUGGAGCUCUUGUUAAUGACCUGGUCUCAAAUCCUUUAAAAUGUCAAUAAAUUUAUCUCAUGACUGUAAAAGCUAUUUUUACACUUCCUAAUUUUAUUCUUAAAUAUAGACUAAAGUUUAUUAGACUAAUUUUGAGACAGACCAAUGUAAAAUUGACUUAAGUUCAAUGGGCAUGAUUUGGAAAAAUUAUUGUGUAAAACAACUGUUAGUCUGUUUCUAGGGAAUUGUUCAGUUAUUAUUUGCCCAAGUCAGACCCAUUGUAUAUAGAUAGCAUACAAAUUUAGGUUUUUUAAAUAUUUUAGCUAAGAAAUGACCUCAUUAUACUGUAAAUUUUAUUUCAAAGAU